GGGUCUCGCUCGUUACCUGACUUAACAGGAUGCUUCACAGUACGAACUGACGACGGCCAUGCACCACCUCUCAGCUAAUCCGGCAAAGUCUUCAGCCUGGCCUUCAUAUUGCUGUCGGUCCCGGUAAGAUUUCCGGCGUUGAAUCCAAUUAAACCGCAAGCUCCACCCGUUGUGGUGCUCCCCCGCCAAUUCCUUUAAGUUUCAGCCUUGCGGCCGUACUUCCCAGGUGGCUCGCUUCACGGCUUCCCUACGGCACCGACAACGGUCGCACCGUGGCCGACACCUAGCGAGUAUCGUUUACGGCUAGGACUACCCGGGUAUCUAAUCCGGUUCGUGCCCCUAGCUUUCGUCCCUUGCCGUCAGGUCCGUUCUGGUGAGACGCCUUCGCCACUGGUGGUCCUUCAAGGAUUACAAGAUUUCACCCCUACCCCUGAAGUACCUCUCACCUCUCCCGGCCUCGAGCCAGACAGUAUCUCCUGAAAGCCUGACAGUUAAGCUGCCAGAUUUCUCAAGAGACUUAUCCGGCCGGCUACAGACCCUUUAGACCCAAUAAUAACGGUUACCACUCGAGCCGCCGGUGUUACCGCGGCGGCUGGCACCGGUCUUGCUCGGCCCUUGCUAUGAAA
RNAcentral lists this ribosomal RNA (626 nucleotides) under unidentified archaeon. RNAcentral's name for it is "partial 16S ribosomal RNA". The record is from RNAcentral.